Molecule: long non-coding RNA, 105 nt
Organism: Etheostoma cragini (Arkansas darter)
Lineage: Eukaryota; Metazoa; Chordata; Actinopteri; Perciformes; Percidae
Exons: 3
Source: RefSeq, a predicted model, not a curated record
GACGCUCCUCUUCCUUUAAGAGUGUGAUUCAAGACCCGAUCCACACCCGAUCCACACUUGAUUUCUUCUCAUGAUAAACCGCAAACAGGCGUCAAGACGUUUGUU